GGUUAAGCGACUAAGCGUACACGGUGGAUGCCCUGGCAGUCAGAGGCGAUGAAGGACGUGCUAAUCUGCGAUAAGCGCCGGUAAGGUGAUAUGAACCGUUAUAACCGGCGAUUUCCGAAUGGGGAAACCCAGUGUGACUCGUCACACUAUCAUUAACUGAAUCCAUAGGUUAAUGAGGCGAACCGGGGGAACUGAAACAUCUAAGUACCCCGAGGAAAAGAAAUCAACCGAGAUUCCCCCAGUAGCGGCGAGCGAACGGGGAGGAGCCCAGAGCCUGAAUCAGCAUGUGUGUUAGUGGAAGCGUCUGGAAAGGCGCGCGAUACAGGGUGACAGCCCCGUACACAAAAGCGCAUGUGCUGUGAGCUCGAUGAGUAGGGCGGGACACGUGGUAUCCUGUCUGAAUAUGGGGGGACCAUCCUCCAAGGCUAAAUACUCCUGACUGACCGAUAGUGAACCAGUACCGUGAGGGAAAGGCGAAAAGAACCCCGGCGAGGGGAGUGAAAAAGAACCUGAAACCGUGUACGUACAAGCAGUGGGAGCCCCACCACUAAGCCAGUGGUGAACUCCACAUACGCAUCCUUUGCUGAGGAUACGGUUAACGGAGCGAAAGCGACGUUCAACCUCAAAAGAAGCAGAGGGGGCUUAGUGGUGG
RNAcentral lists this ribosomal RNA (652 nucleotides) under Salmonella enterica. RNAcentral's name for it is "partial 23S ribosomal RNA". It matches the Rfam family "Bacterial large subunit ribosomal RNA", at positions 1 to 677 of the family's 2925-position model. The record is from RNAcentral. RNAcentral also lists the same sequence under 1 other name. Lineage: Bacteria; Pseudomonadati; Pseudomonadota; Gammaproteobacteria; Enterobacterales; Enterobacteriaceae.